GGGGUCCCUGAGGGUCCUGGGGGCACUGGGGGGGUCCCUGUGCCCUUGGGGGUCACUGGGGGUUGUGGUGGCACUGGGGGACAGACCUGGGAAUGGGAACAGGGACCCCUGGAAUGGGAACAGGGACCCUCUGGAAUGUGGACAGACCUGGGAAUGGGAACAGGGACCCUCUGGAAUGUGGGCAGGGACCCCUUGAAUGGGGACAGGGACCCCUUGGAAUGUGGGAAGAGACUCCUGGGAAUGGGGACAGACCUGGGAAUGGGAACAGGGACCCUCUGGAAUGGGAACAGGCCUUGGAAUGGGAACAGGGACCCUCUGGAAUGUGGGAACAGGGACCCCUGGAAUGGGAACAGGAACCCCUUGGGAUGGGAACAGGGACCCCCUGGAAUGGGAUCAGCCCUUGGAAUGGGAACAGGGACCCCCUGGAAUGGGAACAACCUUGGGAAUGGGAACAGGGACCCUCUGGAAUGGGAAAAGGGAUCCCCCCUGGAACGACUCGGGUGGGAGGGGGGUCUACUUGGGGUG
Molecule: long non-coding RNA, 525 nt
Filed under: Manacus vitellinus (golden-collared manakin)
Lineage: Eukaryota; Metazoa; Chordata; Aves; Passeriformes; Pipridae
Description: lncRNA (ENSMVIG00005004861.1)
Source: RNAcentral